UACGAAGGGUGCAAGCGUUAAUCGGAAUUACUGGGCGUAAAGCGUGCGUAGGCGGCUUUUUAAGUCGGAUGUGAAAUCCCCGGGCUUAACCUGGGAAUGGCAUCCGAUACUGGGGAGCUGGAGUUUGGGAGAGGGUGGUGGAAUUCCCGGUGUAGCGGUGAAAUGCGUAGAGAUCGGGAGGAACAUCAGUGGCGAAGGCGGCCACCUGGCCUAAAACUGACGAUGAGGCACGAAAGAGUGGGGAGCAAACAGG
Molecule: ribosomal RNA, 253 nt
Filed under: uncultured bacterium
Lineage: Bacteria
Description: partial 16S ribosomal RNA
Rfam family: Bacterial small subunit ribosomal RNA
Source: RNAcentral